RNAcentral lists this ribosomal RNA (253 nucleotides) under uncultured bacterium. RNAcentral describes it as "partial 16S ribosomal RNA". It matches the Rfam family "Bacterial small subunit ribosomal RNA", at positions 524 to 776 of the family's 1533-position model. The record is from RNAcentral.
UACGAAGGGUGCAAGCGUUGCUCGGAAUUAUUGGGCGUAAAGGGUUGGUAGGUGGUCUUGUUUGUCUAAGGUGAAAUCCCAUGGCUUAACUGUGGAAGUGCCUUAGAAACGGCAAGACUAGAGUCCUAGAGGGGUUUGUGGAAUUCCCGGCGUAGCGGUGAAUGACGUAGAGAUCGGGAGGAACACCAGCGGCGAAGGCGGCAAACUGGAUAGGCACUGACACUCAACAACGAAAGCGUGGGGAGCAAACAGG